RNAcentral lists this ribosomal RNA (497 nucleotides) under uncultured bacterium. RNAcentral describes it as "partial 16S ribosomal RNA". It matches the Rfam family "Bacterial small subunit ribosomal RNA", at positions 28 to 507 of the family's 1533-position model. The record is from RNAcentral.
GAUGAACGCUGGCGGCGUGCCUAAUACAUGCAAGUCGAGCGAACGGACGAGAUGCUUGCUUUUCUGAUGUUAGCGGCGGACGGGUGAGUAACACGUGGAUAACCUACCUAUAAGACUGGGAUAACUUCGGGAAACCGGAGCUAAUACCGGAUAAUAUUUUGAACCGCAUGGUUCAAAAGUGAAAGACGGUCUUGCUGUCACUUAUAGAUGAAUCCGCGCUGCAUUAGCUAGUUGGUAAGGUAACGGCUUACCAAGGCAACGAUGCAUAGCCGACCUGAGAGGGUGAUCGGCCACACUGGAACUGAGACACGGUCCAGACUCCUACGGGAGGCAGCAGUAGGGAAUCUUCCGCAAUGGGCGAAAGCCUGACGGAGCAACGCCGCGUGAGUGAUGAAGGUCUUCGGAUCGUAAAACUCUGUUAUUAGGGAAGAACAUAUGUGUAAGUAACUGUGCACAUCUUGACGGUACCUAAUCAGAAAGCCACGGCUAACUACGUG